UAUUUUAAAGAGAGUUUGAUCCUGGCUCAGGACGAACGCUGGCGGCGUGCCUAAUACAUGCAAGUCGAACGAACGCACGCAAGAGCUUGCUCUUCCGAAAAAAGUUAGGGGCGGACGGGUGAGUAAGCACGUGGGCAACGCUGCCUGUAAAGUUGGGGGGCGAUAAGCUUGCCGGGAAAACGCGGGCUAAUACCGAAUGAUGAAAAGUGUGCGCCAAUGCCACGCUUUGAAAGAUGGAGCGCGGCUCAUCGCCCUCUAGCAGACUGGGCCCGCGGUGGCAAGUACUAGUGUGGUAAGGGUAAUGGGCCGUACCAAGGCCAACGAUGCAUCAGCCCGACCGUGCAAGAGCCGGAUCGGCGGCACACUGGGAGCUCCGAGGACAGCGCCCAGACUCCUACAGGGACGGCGACAGAUAAGGCGAUAUCUUCGCGCAAUGGCACGAAAGUCUGACGGAGCAACGGCCGCGUGUAUCAAAGACAGGUGUUCGGAACGUAAAGUACUGUUGUUAGAGAAAGAAGCAAGGAAUAAGAGUAACUGCUUGUGCCGCUUGACGGUAUCCUAACAAAGAAAGCCACGGCUAACUAGCGUGCCACCAGCCGCGGUAAUACGUAAGCGUGGGCAAGCGUUGUCCGGAUUUAAUGGGCGUAAAGGGCGCGCGCAGGCGGUCCUUUAAAGUCUGAAUGUGAAAGCCCCGGGCUAACCGGGGAAGGGUCAUGUGGGAAAAGCUGAAGACUGGACGUGGCAGAAGAGGAGAGUGGAAUUUCACGUGUAGCCGGUGAAAGGCGUAGAUAUGGUGGAGAACACACACCAGGGCGAAGGCGACUCUCUGGUCUGUAAGCUGAGCGCCUGAGGCGGCGAAAGCGUGGGGGAGGCAAAGCAGGAAUUAGAUAGCCCUGGUGAGUCGCAACGCGUAAACGAGGAGUGCUAAGUGGUUAGGGGUUCCGCCGCUUAGUGCUGCAGGCUAAGCGCAUUAAGUCAGCCCGCUCGGGGAGUAGCGAGCCGCAAGGUUGAAACGCAAAGGAAUUGAGCGGGGGCCCCGCACAAGCCGUGGGAGCAUGUGGUUUUAAUUCGAACGCAACGCGAAGAACCGUUACGAGUCCUUGACAUCCUUUCGAACACUCUGGAGAGCCAGAGCUUCCCUUCGGGGACAAAGUGACAGGUGGUGGCAUGGUUUGUUCGUGCAGCUCGUGUCCGUGAGAUGGUUUGGGUUACAGCUCCGCAAGCGAGAGCGCAAGGCCUUGAUUUAAGUUGCCAGCCAUUUUAGUUGGGCACUCUAAAGUGAACUUGGCCGUGGCAAGCCGGAGUAAGGUGGGGAUGACGUGCAAAUGCAUCAUGGCCGCCUUAUGACCUGGCCAACACACGUGCUACGCAAUCGGAUAGUACAACAGGGUCGCGAAGCCGCGGAGUGGAGCUUAAUUUUCCGCAUAAAAACUAUUCUCACAGUUUGCGAUUGUAGGCCUGCAACUCGCCUAGCAUGCAAGCCGGAAAUGCGCUAGUAAUCGUGGAUCAGCAUGGCCACGGUGAAAUACGUUUCCGGGCUUGACACAACACGCAACGUCACCACGACGAGAGUUUGUAACACGCCCGAAGUCGGUAAGGGGUAAAACUUACUGGAGCCAGCCCGCCGAAAGUGGAACAAAUAGAUUGGGGUGAAGUCCGAACAAGGUAGCCGUACGGAAAGGUGCGGCUGGAGCACCCUCCUUUGCUAAGAAA
This 1713-nucleotide ribosomal RNA is filed under the name Listeria monocytogenes. RNAcentral's name for it is "bacterial SSU rRNA". It matches the Rfam family "Bacterial small subunit ribosomal RNA". The record is from RNAcentral. Lineage: Bacteria; Bacillati; Bacillota; Bacilli; Caryophanales; Listeriaceae.